UCAGGUGUUCCUCAUGGUCUUUCUCGUUCUUCGAGUAGGUCGAGUCAUCAUCUAUGAAAACUAAGACAAAUUGGUGCAUUGAUCAAUCCGAAAGGCACCACUACGAACUCAUAAUGGCCAAUCUGGUUGUGAAGACCGUCUUAGGUACAUCUUCUGGUCAAAAAUUUAGUAGGUGGUAUCCAAGUCUCAAAUAUAUCUUUGAGAAUGCACUCGAUCCUCUGAGCACUAAAAAAAUGUCAUCUAUCCUCGACAAAUGAUCAAUAUAGGAUACUUUUUCUUAAGUGUUACUUUGCUAAAUUCUCAUCCCCUUUUUCCUACCUAUGUUAAUCCCACGGGGACUUAUCAGCUUAUUUCUUUCUAGCUUUCCGUGGCUUUCUAACGUGAC
This 385-nucleotide long non-coding RNA is filed under the name Salvia miltiorrhiza (redroot sage). RNAcentral's name for it is "long non-coding RNA (SMIL_LNC012892)". The record is from RNAcentral. Lineage: Eukaryota; Viridiplantae; Streptophyta; Magnoliopsida; Lamiales; Lamiaceae.